This is a non-coding RNA of Rhopilema esculentum, 11109 nucleotides long. The record is from RefSeq and is a predicted model, not a curated record. Lineage: Eukaryota; Metazoa; Cnidaria; Scyphozoa; Rhizostomeae; Rhizostomatidae.
GUGAAUCCGAAAGCAAUGUUUUGGAGCGAACCAGAGCAGGGCCUGCGACGAAGGAAGGAGGGCCAUAACCCCCUACUUUUUUGCAAAACAAUAGAGCUUUUUCUAAAACCUUUUGUUAUGGGUAUCAAAUUUUCAAAUUUCCCCUUACCCCCUCCCCCCCCCACUUUUCAAACUGUGUCGGAGCCCAUGAACAAAGAAUAAGCCCAUCCAUGAUACGAGUUGAAUCGAUGUAAAUAACUUAGAUUAGCCAAGUUUACAAAAAUUUUCAGUGGUCUAAGUCGCUAUCGUAACAAUUCGCAAUUAUGAAUGGCAGGUGACAACGUUUGCACACGAACCUAAAAAAGAUAAGUUAUCAAUGAAAAAUUAUUUCUUUUUUAUUGUUAGUCGAUGGAAACAUUUACAAGCAAUAAAUCAGUCGGCGGAUGCUUACUUUGCAUUUCUUUGAAUAUUUCUUUGAAUAUCGUUGUCCAAUCUUUGCUUCUUUAGACAAAUUGUUAAAGCUGAACAAAUGUUAUUCUCUGGCAGAACUCUUUAAAAGUCUGAAAACAAACAAACCGGCAGUAGCUGAAAUAAUUCUGAAUCGCUAGCUGUUAGAUAUUUUUGAAGAGAAGGAGACCUUUGCUCUGACAAAGAAAGAGAGAGAACAACGUUCUACUUAGGAAAAACAUUUAUAGCAUCAAUUUUCUACGGAGGGGUUGAUCGAUUUGAAACGUGCAAAGUUGUGCCAGAGGGACAGCAACAUUUUAACUUCUGCAAGACUCUCUUUGUUUCUUUUUAAUUUAUGCACGUGCUGACUAACUUUUACUUCUCACCUUUCGUUGCUUUGUUUAUUGCUUUGUUUGUUAUAUUUUUGGACCCAGUCUCCACAACUAUAUAUGCUGUGCACACGAUUUUUUUGGGCGUUGUAUUCCGGUAUAUCAUUGAACUAGAAGUCACGGAGAAUUGAAUUAAAAGACACGGAGGGCGUUUUUCUAAAGCGGAAGACUUGUAAGUUGAGGCACGUGUACAGUUAGUUGGUCAUGCAAAUACAGUUAUAGAGGCAAAUAGAUUCAAACCACGUUCUGAGUUUAAUCAAAUUGCGUUGAUUUUUGUGUUUUCUGAUGAGACGCAGGAGUUGAUUUGAACUUGAGCCACAUUUGGUGCCAUAAUCGAAAUGACUCUUCCCAAAACAUCAAAAGCAUUGUUCUUUCAAGAACUUUCUAAAGCCGAAUUCACUGCAGUCCUAGUCACAAACUUGAUAAUUAUGUUACUAAAUAUGUUAAUGAAUAUAUUCCUAUGCCGUGCCAUUCUAAAACUACGUCUUUUGAGAAGCUUCACUUUCUACUUCAUCCUGAGUAUGUCCAUUUCGGAUCUUUGCAUUGGAGUGUUUGUGAAUGGCAGCACAACAGUCAUACUGGUUCUGCGGAUUCAUGGAGCGAUUGUAAGCAAUGUUUAUUAUUUGUUUCUUCAAGUGUGCUACAUUACUUUUGGCCUAUUUUCAACGGAGAUGCUGCUAACAAUAGCCUUCGAUCGCUUUCUCCAUAUAAGGCAUUUAAAUUUCUACAAUGCAUACAUGACAAAGAGGAAAGUCUUCUUGUUGAUUUUCGGAAAUGGAAGCAUUAGCAUAGUGCUCGGGAUAAUGUCUGGGUAUAGUAUAUUGCUGAAAGUUGAUUUUUAUGUCAAUAUUGUACUGACUGUUUUAGGUUUAACUGUAAUGUUCUUUGUAAUUCUAUUGUACAAAAAGUUAAUUUUCACUUUUCGGAAUCGUGUUGAAAAUUCUCAGCUCUCGAAUAGACAUCGCAGCGAUUUGCUGCUUUUGAAAGGAGUUGUUGCCAUAGUUUUAUCUUUGAUUGUUUGCUAUUUGCCUUUUAUCUUGUUUAACAUAAUAAUUUUCUAUGUAAAUGACAGUUCUAAAAUGCUUUUAGUAUAUUUGUUGCUGUUUGAACUUUUACUUUUGGAACCAUGCAUAAAUUCAACCAUUCUCAUUAGCUAUAAUAAGAAACUAAGGAGAUACUUUUUAUCAUUUUUUCAAAAGCAACUUGACGAUGAAAUUAGCCACCAAUAGGUCUUGUCUAAAAAUGUUUUAGAUGUAUAUGUAAAAGUGUGACUCGUUUCUGAAAGUCUGAGCUUAGCCAAGGCAAUCAAUAUUUGUAUAUUAGGAUGAUAUUUGAUUGAUGAACAACAGGGAAAAAACACAAAUCAACGAGGAGCAAUUCGAUAUCAGCAAAUACGUUAUGAAAAAGCAAGCUUCUAAAAGUAAAGGACAAGCUUUCUUUACUGAAAUUUUUGGUUUUAAAUUGAGAUUCAUUUUAUGUUGUAUUGCUCCUUGUUUUUUGCAUUGUUCCUGCCAAUCUAAUGUCGACUCUCUUUACAAACGCAAUGUUGCAUCUUUAGAAGAAAACUGGGAAGAAAAGGAAAUACUUGCUACUUAUACCUUACUUUUAACAUUUCGUCAAAAACAAAAUGGUAGCAAAUUUUCGUCAGGAAGAAAGAUAUUUUGCAACUGUACAAGUGUCGUUGCAAUGUUUUAUGACGAUCAACUGAAAAUUCGUCGAAUGGAAAUCCGCAUAUAAUAGCAACUUUGAUUGGUCAAUGAUUUCUGUUGGUUGCAUAAAGUAUGCAAAAAAAGAUUUCAUCUAUUCCAAAUAGGCGUAAGAUCUUUGUCCAUUUUGAUAGCCACAAAAGGAAUAAAGAGUUUUAUUUCAUUAUUUAUACUCUUUAUAAGGAACUCUACUAUUCUUAGCCAAUCAGGUAGGCGAAAGAUUGCCUUUAAGAUUCACGAAGGAUUGAUUUUUUUGCUUUACGAACGUUGUUAAACUGCAUCAUUAAAAGUUACAAGUUGUCACUGACAUUCAUGAAAGUUCAUAUUUUGAUAAAGAAUGGAGUUUGUUUCAUAUGACUACAAGCAAAGAACAUAAACAUUUCCUUGUUUUAUGUAGAGUACACAUAAUGGUUUACUAAGCUUAGUUUAUAGUUGGUAUAUCGUGUAAUGUUACACUCGUGUUGUCAGUUGAUAACAAUCAUUUGAUAUCAAUCAGUUGAUAAAAUUAAUUGACUAUUUUGAUUCAAAGACUUUCAAAAUAUUUAUCUCAGUUGGCAAUUGCUCAUUUCUUGUAUUGCUACCUUUGUCAAACUUUUCGCAACGUAUCUUUUUUCCUAAAAUAUUCUUUGGUCAGUUAUUAUCUGAAAAAAGCACAGAAGAGCGUAAACAUAUCAUAUCAUACCAGGUACUUUUGCGGUACCAAACGCAUAUUUGGUCAUUUACUAUCGUCGACAACCAACAUUCUGCAUCUCUUUUUUCUGGAGACACAGAAAAUGAUUCUCCUCAACCACUCAGUACCAAAGGGAAGUCAAAGGCCAUGGACAUCAGUGUUUGUUUUUCACGACUAAAUUCUACCCAGAGCGUUAAUAACACAUUACAAUGUGCCUUCUUUACAGAAUGGUAUCAUAUCAUCAUAUCCAUGUUUCUGACAGCUGUUAAGGCGCAAUACCGCAAGGAAGGCGCACAACAAAUUUGUCUACUGUUUUUAUAUAUAUUUUAUGGGGUAACACAUCAAAGAGGGUAUGUUCAAACAUUGGCGGAACGUACCCCCCCCCCCGUACUCUUUUACGAAGUUGGCCCUUGAGAUUCUAGCCAACCCGAUGAGAAAACUUCGGGGAGGGAGGGGGUAUGUACGUUAUCUAGAUCGUCAAAAGCUGAUUUUGGUGUGAAGCAAUAACAUUAUUUUCCAUGUACAAUUAUCACCUUGUCAGUAAUUUUGUAGAUUACCGUCCUUUUUUCUUGAUAUUGUUUACAAUGAUAUAAAAUCUUUUUUUAAAAUGCAGCGAGACUUAAUUGUCCAUCAAUAGCAAAAUAUUGUCUAGCUUCAAUGGUUUAAAAAAAAUUAAAUUUACCAUCUUAUAAUAUAAAAUAUAUUGUUGUUCUUACAAUCCAACAUAAGGACAGGAAUGAACGCAUAAAACCAGCUUUCCGCAUUUCUUGCAUUUUCUAUUACGUCUUACUGAUUAACUCGAAUAAGAGUUACAUUUAUGUAAAAACAAGCUGGCUAAAUAAAACAAGUUGUAAUUUUUUCAAAAUUGAACAGUCACGAAAAUUCUUAUGUAAUUAAAAGGUAAUUCUUCAUCGCUACGUGGAUUCAUACUAGAGAUUUUAUACAAUAUAGUUCAGCGUAUGUUUAUAAAUUAAGAGUUCUACAGCUACACCUGUCAUAUUAAAUUGAACUUUACAUAAAAAUCAUUACAAAAGGAAUUUGUUUGCAUGACACAUAGAAAAGUUUACAUAUAUACAUAGUUUACAAAGCUGUUUACCCGAACUUCCUGUUUUUUAUCAAUAUUUUAUUGUCAAGAUUCUUUACUAAAGUUGAAAAGAUAGCGCUUAAGUUGAAGUGCGUUAUCGGCCGAAUUGGGAAAAUUUAAAGCCACUGAACCAGUCGACUUUGUCUAACGCUCGAAUUUCAAUUGAUAAAUCUUUAAAUUUCUACAUAGAAUGAUUUCUACAGAUUUCUUCUUUCUUAUGAUAAUCACCUUCAAAUGAUUUUUUCAAACAUAAAAAGAUAUUUUACUGUAUUCUCAGUCUUCAUUAUAUUAGCCACCUGUCAACGUGGGUCAAUUUUUUUCGUCUGAUAAUUGGUUGCUGAUGAAAAAAGGUACUCAAAUGCGUAAGUUAUUCAUUUGCUAUUCGAUUGAAUUUCUCUCACCUGCUAAUUUUAGCUGGAGUGUACAAGAUACAACAAAGAAAUAAUUGUUUUCCACUUGAAAUUUGCAAAAAACCAACAAAAUAAAGAAACAUGAAGAGUGGAAGAUUGAGAAUCAACUGGAAUUUCACGAGGAUACAAAGACUUGCUCAAGAAGGCGAUGUCAAUGUCUCUUUAGAGCUUUGCUAUCAGAGCAUGGUAGAAAGAGAAUUGCUUGCAGCCUUGGUUCUGAAUGUAACUGUUAUGGCAUUGAGUGAAUCAUUAAAUCUCAUUAUGUGUCGUGAAAAUUAGUAGCCGAUGAAAUUAUAAUUCUACUGUCUUCCCUGAUUUAUAAAAAAUGGACAAAAUUAUUGCCAUUUUUAUAUUUCAUUUGGUUAUUUUGCUAGCCUGAUGCUGGCAAUGGUCGCAACAGAUCGAUACAUUUUUGCAUCCUGUCUUCAAUUAAUUCGUCAUUAAUUAUGUUCAUGUUUGCCUCAUUUUGGUGCCCUAUUUUGUAUUUUUGGGUAAUGUUAAGCUUUGGCAAAACAAUUAGUACUGCUAGGUAUGUCAAAAAUCUUGACAGGUAUUUAUCUCAAGAUUUAAUGGAGUAAAAAUAUGUCUGCCUCGCAACGAUAAUGAAAAUAAAUAGUAGUAUUUGCAAUAAGCAUAAGAUAAUUUUGAGAUUUGCGUUUCAUACUGAUCUGGAAGGCAGGUAUGUUGGAGGCCCAAAAGUGAAUCCGAAAGCAAUGUUUUGGAGCUGUGCAGGGCAGGGCCUGCGACGAAGGAGGGAGGGCCAUAAUCCCCUAAUUUUUUGCAAAACAACACAGCUUUUUCUAAAACCUUAUGUUAUGGCUGUCAAAUUUUUAAAUUUCCCCUUACCCCCCUCCCCUUCCCCACUUUCCAACCUAUGUCGGAGCCCAUGAACAGAGAAAAAGCCCAUCCAUGAUACGAGUUAAACCAAGUUUACAAAAUUUUUCAGUGGUCUAAGUCGCUAUCGUAACAAUUCGCGAUUAUGAAUGGCAGGUGACAACGUUUGCACAAAAACGUCAAAGAGAUAAGUUAUCAAUAAAAAAUUAUUUCUUUGUUAUUGUUAGUCGAUGGAAACAUUUACAAGCAAUAAAUCUUUGACAGUCGGCGGAUGCUUACAUUGCAUUUCUUUGAGUAUUCGUUGUCCAAUCUUUGCUUCUUUAGACAAACUGUUAAAGCUGAACAAAUGUUAUUCUCUGGCAGAACUCUUUAAAAGUCUGAAAACAAACAAACCGGCAGUAGCUGAAAUAAUUCUGAAUCGCUAGCUGUUAGAUAUUCUUGAAGAGAAGGAGACUUUUGCUCUGACAAAGAAAGAGAGAGAGAGCAACGUUCUACUUAGGAAAAACAUUUAUAGCAUCAAUUUUCUACGGAGGGGUUGAUCGAUUUGAAACGUGCAAAGUUGUGCCAGAGGGACAGCAACAUUUUAACUUCUGCAAGACUCUCUUUGUUUCUUUUUAAUUUAUGCACGUGCUGACUAACUUUUACUUCUCACCUUUCGUUGCUUUGUUUAUUGCUUUGUUUGUUAUAUUUUUGGACCCAGUCUCCACAACUAUAUAUGCUGUGCACACGAUUUUUUUGGGCGUUGUAUUCCGGUAUAUCAUUGAACUACAAGUCACGGAGAGUUGAAUUAAAAGACACGGAGGGCGUUUUUCUAAAGCGGAAGACUUGUAAGUUGCGGCAAGUGUACAGUUAGUUGGUCAUGCAAAUACAGUUAUAGAGGCAAAUAGAUUCAAACCACGUUCUGAGUUUAAUCAAAUUGCGUUGAUUUUUGUGUUUUCUGAUGAGACGCAAAAGUUGGUUUGAACUUGAGCCACGUUUGGUGCAAUAAUCGAAAUGACUCUUCCCAAAGCAUCAAGAACAUUGCUCUAUCAAGAACUUUCUAAAGCCGAAUUCACUGCAGUCCUAGUCACAAACUUGAUAAUUAUGGUACUAAAUAUGUUAAUGAAUAUAUUCCUAUGCCGUGCCAUUCUAAAACUACGUCUUUUGAGAAGCUUCACUUUCUACUUCAUCCUGAGUAUGUCCAUUUCGGAUCUUUGCAUUGGAGUGUUUGUGAAUGGCAGCACAACAGUCAUACUGGUUCUGCGGAUUCAUGGAGCGAUUGUAAGCAAUGUAUAUUAUUUGUUUCUUCAAGUGUGCUACAUUACUUUUGGCCUAUUUUCAGCGAAGAUGCUGCUAACAAUAGCCUUCGAUCGCUUUCUCCAUAUAAGGCAUUUAAAUUUCUACAAUGCAUACAUGACAAAGAGGAAAGUCUUCUUGUUGAUUUUCGGAAAUGGAAGCAUUAGCAUAGUGCUCGGGAUAAUGUCUGGGUAUAGUAUAUUGCUGAAAGUUGAUUUUUAUGUUAAUAUUGUACUGACUGUUUUAGGUUUAACUGUAAUGUUCUUUGUAAUUCUAUUGUACAAAAAGUUAAUUUUCACUUUUCGGAAUCGUGUUGAAAAUUCUCAGCUCUCGAAUAGACAUCGCAGCGAUUUGCUGCUUUUGAAAGGAGUUGUUGCCAUAGUUUUAUCUUUGAUUGUUUGCUAUUUGCCUUUUAUCUUGUUUAACAUGAUAAUUUUCUAUGUAAAAGAAAGUUCUAAAAUGCUUUUAGUAUAUUUGUUGCUGUUUGAACUUUUACUUUUGGAACCAUGCAUAAAUUCAGCCAUUCUCAUUAGCUAUAAUAAGAAACUAAGGAGAUACUUUUUAUCAUUUUUUCAAAAGCAACUUGACGAUGAAAUUAGCCACCAAUAGGUCUUGUCUAAAAACGUUUUAGAUUUAUAUGUAAAAGUGUGACUCGUUUCUGAAAGUCUGAGCUUAGCCAAGGCAAUCAGUAUUUGUAUAUUAGGAUGGUUAUUUGAUUGAUGAACAACAAGGAAAAAACGCAAAUCAACGAGGAGCAAUUCGAUAUCAGCAAAUACGUUAUGAAAAAGCAAGCUUCUUAAAGUAAAGGACAAGCUUUCUUUACUGAAAUUUUUGGUUUUAAAAUGAGAUUCAUUUUAUGUUGUAUUGCUCCUUGUUUUUUGCAUUGCUCCUGCCAAUCUAAUGUCGACUCUCUUUACAAACGCAAUGUUGCAUCUUUAGAAGAAAACUGGGAAGAAAAGGAACUACUUGCUACUUAUACCUUACUUUUAACAUUUCGUCGUAAACAAAAUCUUCAAAAUUCUCAUCAGGAAAAAAGAUAUUUUGCAACUGUACAAGUGUCGUUGCGAUUUUUUAUGACGAUUAUCUCAAAAUUCGUCUAAUGGAAAUCCGCAUAUAAUAGCAACUUUGAUUGUUCAAUGAUUUCUGUUGGUUGCAUAAAGUAUACAAAAGAAGAUUUCAUCAAAUCCAAAUUGGCGUAAGAUCUUUAUCAAUUUUUAUAGCCACAAAAGGAAUAAAGACCUCAGAGUUUUAUUUCCCUAUUUAUACUCUCUUAAUAAAGGACUCUGCUAUUUUUAGCCAAUCAGGUAGGCAAAAGAUUGCCUUUAAGAUUCACGGAGGAUUGAUUAUUUUGCUUUACGAACGUUGUUAAAUUGCAUCAUUAAAAGUUACAAGUUGUCACUGACAUUCAUGAAAGUUCAUAUUUUGAUAAAGAGUGGAGUUUGUUUCAUAUAACUACAAGCAAAGAACAAUAAACAUUUUCUUGAUUUAUGUAGAGUACAUAUAAUGGUUUACUAAGCUUAGUUUAUAGUUGAUAUAUCGUGAAACGUUACACUCGUUUAAACUCGUUUUUACAAUCAGUUGAUAAAAUUAAUUGACUGUUGUGAUUCAAAUACUAUGUACGUUAUCUAGAUCGUCAAAAGCUGAUUUUGUUGUGAAGCGAUAACAUCAUUUUCCAUGUACAAUUAUCACCUUGUCAGUAAUUAUAUAGAUUACCCUCCUUUUUUUCUUGACAUUGUCUACAAUGCUAUAAAAUCUUUUUAAAUAUGCAGCUAGAAAGAUAUUUCCAAUGAAUUGACUUAUCAAAUCUUCGAAAACAAUUUGCCAUCAAAUCGAGGAAGCCUAUUUAUAGUCCAUAAUAUUAAACAGCUAAAAACUUGGUUUAUCGACUAGAAAUUUGUAUCCCCUCAAAAGCUUUUGUGAACUAUUUUUACCUUGACCAGAUCGUUGCAUUAGAUUUCGUGACAGUGUAGCUUUUUAAAAGUUUUUACUAGUAACACUUGAUUAUAGGUUUUUUGUUAAUUUAACAUACGUAAAACUUCUAAUUUCAAAACUUUGAAAUUAAGUUUCAAGCCAAAGUGUUCAAUAUCAACGGUUCAUUAAAUGACAGUUCUUGGGAGACAAGAAGUGUUUCCUAAGAAAUAAAAUGCUUCUCGCAGAAAAAGGGCGCGGUCAAAAAGGGCCUGGUCCCAGACCCCCUUUUGUCCCUCCCACUUAUCCCGGGCUGGAGCCGCCACUGUGUUUAAGUGCCAAACAUUGUUUAGAACAUCGCUCUUUUUGGGCAUAUUUUCGACGUCACUAUGAUUACAAGGAGCUGUAUCGCCGAGGAGAAAUUUGAAAACAAUUUGUAAAGAUAUCAAUCAAAUUCUCUUUUCAAAAUAUUAUCUUGGCAAAUAUGGAGUUUUCUUGCAAAAAGAAAUGAUAGAUGAGCAGUGAAAACCUCUAAACAAAGAAGGAACCGAGAGAAAAUGAUGAAUACAGUCAACAGAUCUUUUUAUCAAAGCACAUGAUUUCUUUAAGACAAUACUUCUGGCUAUAAGUAAACUAUUUGCAAGCACGAACAUGUUAACAAAAAACUCAGUUUUCAGCGUUAAAAUACGAAUCAACAAUCUUAAUGAAAUAUCAAUAUCAAUUCACGUAAACAUAAUAUCAAUUUGAAUAUUAGAUGACUUAUCUCAUUAUUUGUAAUUUUUGGCAGAGAAACAUAUUGCUUUUGGCUUUUUUCACCAAGAAUUAUCUGGACAACACAAUAAUUUCUGCGCAAGGUUUGUCGAGCAAAUCUUAUUGUAUGGUCAAACAUAAUUCAGAUAAAUCAGCAAUAAUUACAGGAGUAGCUAAUCGCAAAAAUGAAAUUAUUGUCAUAUUGGUGUUCUAAGAUCUUGCCUGGUAGCUGCAAACAACAAUACAAGUUAACCAUAUUUAGACUUUCUAAACACUAACCAUAUUUAGACUUAGACAAAAUAAACUCUCUAAACACUAGUUUGUCUUCUGCAAACCAUCGAAUUGAGAUGCCUUCUCAUUUUACGGUUAGAUAAUAACAGUAUCAUUGAAUUGACGCUCGAUUCUGACAAAGCAAUCUGAAAUAGCCAAGCGUAGAUAAGUGAUUUGUGUCUGUCUUCUUCGUCAGCAUUUGUAGCUUUGGCUUUAUAGUAGAAGAAAAAGUUGUAUGAAACGAAAGGCAGAUAACAAAUCAUUAUAGAGACCACUAUAGCAAAAAUCCCUUUGAGAAGCUGCAGAUCAGCACGAUGUCGAUUUGGGAAUUGAAAAGUCACCACGUGAUUUCGAAAAGCCAAGAAUAUCUUUGCGUAAAAGACAAGGAUCGUUGCAACGAUAAUGAAAUAUAGAAUCGUUAAAACAGUAACAACGUAGAAAAUUGUUCCAUGCCUUGAACCAAAAAAGAACAUAAAACCAGAUACAAUGCUUGUACAGAUGUUUCCUAAUAUCAUGCAAAGCGACUUUUUCUUUGUCAUAUGGGCAUUGUAAAAAUCCAAAUACUUUGUGUGAAGAUAUCGAUCAAAAGCAAUCAUGACCAGCGAGAUGGCAGAGAACUGACCAAAGACAACGUAACACACUUUGUAUGCCGUGUGGAGUUCUUCGGUAAUUUCUGAUUCAAGAAGGUGAGCUAAAAAAUGCGUUGACAGCAAGGAUUGCACACAGAUUCCGAUUAUAAAGUCAGAUAUCGCCAAACUUAAGAUGAAAUGGUAAGCGAUAUUUCGCAAAAGACCAAGUUUCAGAAUUGUGCGGCACAGAAUGUUAUUCAGUGCUAUAUUGAUUAUUGACAAGACUGUAUUGGAAACCAGUAAGACGAUCAUACCAGAUCUAGAGAGACUCUUCAUAACUGUUUUUCCAUAAAGUACAACUUUUACCCUGCAAAGCAGAAUUUUCGUCUGUUACUUUUCUGACAACCAUCCAACUUCUACAAAAAGUUACAAAGCUUUUCACCUGUCUAAACAAAAUAAAUUGUUAAAUGAUAAGCUCAAUUUUAUUCAGCUGUCAAGAAACUUUUCGAAUAUAGAAGUGUUUGCUUGUCUCUAAAGGCAAUUGAAAGCUGCUCCAAUAUAGGUUUUUGAUAUUAUCUUAUGAUAAAGGUAUUAAAGCAUAAAAUGUCUCUCCUCCGUCAUAGUAUCAUCUCAAACCCAGCCUUUCAGUCGUGUUUGAAUCAGUUCCGUGUGAAGAGAUAGCUUUACUUACUCCCUCACACAGCUGAAAAUAACGAAAGUGAAAUAAAACUAUAUCGCUAUCGCUCCCGAGGGGCAAAUCACUGCUUAAAAUCAUGUACGCUCUCAAGAAUAAUCACACUUUAAUCAAAAAUUAAUCA